Molecule: transfer RNA, 72 nt
Filed under: Aedes aegypti (yellow fever mosquito)
Lineage: Eukaryota; Metazoa; Arthropoda; Insecta; Diptera; Culicidae
Rfam family: tRNA
About the family: Transfer RNA (tRNA) molecules are approximately 80 nucleotides in length.
Source: Rfam by way of RNAcentral
UGCCCGGUAGCUUAGGUGGUAAAGCGCUCGUCUAGCAUACACGAGUCGUGGGAUCGAAUCCCACCUGACCAC